GAUCAUUGGGUAUAUGUAUGUAGAACCGAAUUCGAGUUGAACUAUGUGCCUGGGAAAAUUCUUUUGUACGAACUAUGGACUAGAAACUUAGUAACAAAAAUAAAUACAGCAACCCAACCAUAAAGACUGAAAUUAAUGGAGCCAAAACACUACCCUAUGAAGGAAUCAAAUGAGAUAGAAACAAGGGAUCAGGAACCAACGAUCUUAAAGAUGAAAGGACUAACCUGAAGGUAACCUUAGGCAAGGACAGAAAGGAAAAGCUGCUUAUCACACAACAAAUCAAAAGCUUAACCUAUUAGGUAGACCCAUGUAUCACCUUGUGUAGCCGAUGUGGGACUUUGAUUACACUUUCCGAACGAACAGGGCAAAAACAGGCAAUCAUAUCAGAGCCCCGUGCCAUUAUCAGCAAAUGUAGAGGAGUCUUGGAAUACAAAGACAAAAAAGAACCACAGUGCUUGCCACCAUGACACACUACCAGACAGAUAACCAUCAAUAAAAACAUAACAAACAAACCAAAAUGAAUACUGAUGCAAGGGGACUCCAGCAAUGGAAAACAAAAAAAAAAUAAUAAUAAAGAAGGCAAAUAAUAAGAAAUCCUGUUUGCAAGAUUUGAUUCUUAAUAAUGAAAACAAAUCUGUGCAAGAUUCACUAAUACAAUAAGACACCAAUUACAGAGGAAGAAAGUAAUAAUCGAGUUUUUGAUAAUGUUGAAAAAAGGGCUGCUAAAAGCCUACCUUCGCUCAACUGCAAGUUAUGUUAACAGCUAAUCAACUAUUUUUGAGAACAUAGACUUAACACUAAGAAAAAACAAAUUAUAAAUUAUAAAAAUUCAAUAUAAUUGAGACAUAAACCAUGAAUAAAAUAAGAGAAUUGUAGAAUUUUGUAUAUGUGAUUUACAAAGAGAAUAAUACUCUAUUUAUACUUCAAUAGGGUUACAAAUCGCAUUUUAAGCGAAAGAAUAAUCACAUACAAUCUUUAACAUUUAUUCAUAUGCUAUGGCUGAAGAUGCAAAUCAUUUCUCCCUUUUUUUACUAUGAGUUAAUCAUAUUCUAGUUUUUUAGUUUUCAAGAACUAUAAAAUAAACCCAGAAUUAUUUAGGGUAUAUAUUGGAGUUCAGUAAAUAACAUAACGUUAAUUGAGAACUAGUAAGACUCCAGAUAAGAGGCUUAAAGUCAGAAAUUUAAAAAUUGCAACCUGAAGAAUGAUAAUUCUAGUUCCACUUUUGACUUAAAUGGUGAACUAAAAGCUGAGGAAAAACGGGUAGAAAACAUUAGAUAAACAAUUAGAUGAUGAAGAUCUCUAUUUAUUAGCCUCGUUCUGAUCGAUUCUCUUUUGAGAUUUGAGUGUAGGGCAAAGAUGCUAGUACAGAUUUAGAGAGAGAUCCCAUUUACAGUACUUUUUCAAUUAUUUAAAUGAAAAUCG
This 1422-nucleotide long non-coding RNA is filed under the name Olea europaea subsp. europaea. The record is from RNAcentral. Lineage: Eukaryota; Viridiplantae; Streptophyta; Magnoliopsida; Lamiales; Oleaceae.